GGCUGUGUGGGGUAGUGGUUUGAGCAAUGGACUGUGACUCUGGAGACUAGAGUUUGAAUCCUCACUCAGCCA
This is a non-coding RNA of Phrynosoma platyrhinos (Desert horned lizard), 72 nucleotides long. The record is from the annotation of a GenBank genome assembly. NCBI's taxonomy places the organism in Eukaryota, Metazoa, Chordata, Lepidosauria, Squamata, Phrynosomatidae.